GCGGGCGUGGCGGAAUUGGCAGACGCGUACGGUUCAGGUCCGUAUGGAGGCAACUCCAUGGAGGUUCAAGUCCUCUCGCCCGCACCA
Molecule: transfer RNA, 87 nt
Filed under: Atopobium sp.
Lineage: Bacteria; Bacillati; Actinomycetota; Coriobacteriia; Coriobacteriales; Atopobiaceae
Also listed under: 2 other names
Description: tRNA-Leu
Rfam family: tRNA
About the family: Transfer RNA (tRNA) molecules are approximately 80 nucleotides in length. Their secondary structure includes four short double-helical elements and three loops (D, anti-codon, and T loops).
Source: RNAcentral